UACCAGCUCUCCGAGUUGUAGGGAUGAUUAUUGGGCCUAAAGCAUCCGUAGCUGGCUGGGCAAGUCCCCUGUUAAAUCCACCGAUUUAAUCGUUGGUGUGCGGGGGAUACUGUUCGGCUAGGGGACGGGAGAGGCCGACGGUAUUUUCGGGGUAGGGGUGAAAUCCUAUAAUCCCGGGAAGACCACCAGUGGCGAAGGCUGUCGGCUAGAACGCGCCCGACGGUGAGGGAUGAAAGCUGGGGGAGCGAACCGGAUUAGAUACCCGGGUAGUCCCAGCUGUAAACGAUGCAGGCUAGGUGUUUGGGCGGCCACGUGCCGCUCUAGUGCCGCAGAGAAGUCGUUAAGCCUGCCGCCGUGGGGAGUACGGCCGCAAGGCUGAAACUUAAAGGAAUUGGCGGGGUGCACCACAAGGCGUGAAGCUUGCGGUUC
This 429-nucleotide ribosomal RNA is filed under the name uncultured archaeon. Its description in RNAcentral is "bacterial SSU rRNA". It matches the Rfam family "Archaeal small subunit ribosomal RNA", at positions 474 to 903 of the family's 1478-position model. The record is from RNAcentral.